This 498-nucleotide ribosomal RNA is filed under the name uncultured bacterium. RNAcentral's name for it is "partial 16S ribosomal RNA". It matches the Rfam family "Bacterial small subunit ribosomal RNA", at positions 899 to 1397 of the family's 1533-position model. The record is from RNAcentral.
ACUCAAAGGAAUUGACGGGGGCCCGCACAAGCGGUGGAGCAUGUGGUUUAAUUCGACGCAACGCGAAGAACCUUACCUAGACUCGAACGGCUUUGGACCGCUGUAGAAAUACAGUUUUCCCGCAAGGGACUGAAGUCGAGGUGCUGCAUGGCUGUCGUCAGCUCGUGUCGUGAGAUGUUGGGUUAAGUCCCGCAACGAGCGCAACCCUUGUCCUGUGUUGCUAAUCCGCAAGGAUGCACUCUCAGGAGACCGCCAGCGAUAAGUUGGAGGAAGGUGGGGAUGACGUCAAGUCAUCAUGGCCUUUAUGCCUAGGGCUACACACGUGCUACAAUGGACGGUACAAACCGUUGCAAACCCGCGAGGGGGAGCUAAUCGGAAAAAACCGUUCUCAGUUCGGAUUGCAGGCUGCAACUCGCCUGCAUGAAGCUGGAAUCGCUAGUAAUGGUAUAUCAGAACGAUACCGUGAAUACGUUCCCGGGCCUUGUACACACCGCCCGU